CGUCUAUAUACGUAUAGCAUAUCAAUAAGCGGAGGAAAAGAAACUAACUAGGAUUCCCUUAGUAACGGCGAGUGAAGCGGGAAGAGCUCAAAUUUGAAAUCUUCAAGGUUCUACCUUGACGAAUUGUAGUUUAUAGAAGUGUUUUCUGUAGUGGAGUUUGGUAAAAGUUCCUUGGAAUAGGACAUCAUAGAGGGUGAGAAUCCCGUAUUUGAUCAUUAUUCCUAGCGUUGUGAUACACUUUCAAAGAGUCGGAUUGUUUGGGAAUGCAGUCCAAAAUGGGUGGUAAAUUUCAUCUAAAGCUAAAUAUUGGCGAGAGACCGAUAGCGAACAAGUACCGUGAGGGAAGGAUGAAAAGAACUUUGAAAAGAGAGUUAAACAGUACGUGAAAUUGUCAGAAGGGAAGCGUUUGACACCAGAGUUGUUUUUCCGAAAAUCAAUUACGAAUGUUUUGUUUUUAAGAAGUUAUGACUUCAUCGGCUUGCUUCUCUCUUUACGAAACUUUCUUAAUGCACUUUUCGGUUAACAAGUCAACAUCAAUUUCUUUUGUUGUAAAAGGGUAUGAGGAAGGUGGCUUUCUUUUCGGAGAAAGUGUUUAUAGCCUUGUACCUCUGCAAUCGGAGAGAUUGAGGUCUGCAGCGUAGAUCCUUCGGGGUUAGAUACAUUUGUGCUAAGUUAUAGCUUUUCAUAGACAACUUGUUGACUAUGUUAAGUCUUGUAGCUUACUCGCUUAUGCUAUUUUACCUACGCUUAGGAUGUUGACACACGCGCGUGCUCG
This 775-nucleotide ribosomal RNA is filed under the name uncultured Neocallimastigales. RNAcentral describes it as "partial large subunit ribosomal RNA". It matches the Rfam family "Eukaryotic large subunit ribosomal RNA", at positions 26 to 643 of the family's 3401-position model. Lineage: Eukaryota; Fungi; Neocallimastigomycota; Neocallimastigomycetes; Neocallimastigales. The record is from RNAcentral.